UGAGUUACGCUCUAUAACCCUUUGUGAACAUACCUAUAACUGUUGCUUCGGCGGGUAGGGUCUCCGUGACCCUCCCGGCCUCCCGCCCCCGGGCGGGUCGGCGCCCGCCGGAGGAUAACCAAACUCUGAUUUAACGACGUUUCUUCUGAGUGGUACAAGCAAAUAAUCAAAACUUUUAACAACGGAUCUCUUGGUUCUGGCAUCGAUGAAGAACGCAGCGAAAUGCGAUAAGUAAUGUGAAUUGCAGAAUUCAGUGAAUCAUCGAAUCUUUGAACGCACAUUGCGCCCGCCAGCAUUCUGGCGGGCAUGCCUGUUCGAGCGUCAUUUCAACCCUCAAGCUCUGCUUGGUGUUGGGGCCCUACAGCUGAUGUAGGCCCUCAAAGGUAGUGGCGGACCCUCCCGGAGCCUCCUUUGCGUAGUAACUUUACGUCUCGCACUGGGAUCCGGAGGGACUCUUGCCGUAAAACCCCCAAUUUUCCAAAGGUUGACCUCGGAUCAGGUAGGAAUACCCGCUGAACUUAAGCAUAUCAAUAAGCGGAGGAAAAGAAACCAACAGGGAUUGCCUCAGUAACGGCGAGUGAAGCGGCAACAGCUCAAAUUUGAAAUCUGGCCCUAGGCCCGAGUUGUAAUUUGCAGAGGAUGCUUUUGGUGCGGUGCCUUCCAAGUUCCCUAGAACGGGACGCCAGAGAGGGUGAGAGCCCCGUACAGUUGGACACCAAGCCUUUGUAAAGCUCCUUCGACGAGUCGAGUAGUUUGGGAAUGCUGCUCAAAAUGGGAGGUAUAUUUCUUCUAAAGCUAAAUACCGGCCAGAGACCGAUAGCGCACAAGUAGAGUGAUCGAAAGAUGAAAAGCACUUUGAAAAGAGGGUUAAACAGCACGUGAAAUUGUUAAAAGGGAAGCGCUUGUGACCAGACUUGCGUCCGGUGAAUCACCCAGCUCUCGCGGCUGGGGCACUUCGCCGGCUCAGGCCAGCAUCAGCUCGCUGUCGGGGACAAAAGCUUCAGGAACGUAGCUCUCUUCGGGGAGUGUUAUAGCCUGUUGCAUAAUACCCUUCGGCGGGCUGAGGUACGC
Molecule: ribosomal RNA, 1071 nt
Filed under: fungal endophyte
Lineage: Eukaryota; Fungi
Description: eukaryotic LSU rRNA
Rfam family: Eukaryotic large subunit ribosomal RNA (bases 486-1071)
Source: RNAcentral